UGCAGUCGCACGGGCAGUAGCAAUAUUGUCAGUGGCGGACGGGUGAGUAACGCGUAGGAAUCUAUCCUUGGAUGGGGGACAACCGUGGGAAACUACGGCUAAUACCGCAUAAUGCCUGAGGGCCAAAGACGUAAGUCGUCUGGGGAGGAGCCUGCGUCUGAUUAGGUAGUUGGUGGGGUAAAGGCCUACCAAGCCUGCGAUCAGUAGCUGGUCUGAGAGGAUGAUCAGCCACAUUGGGACUGAGACACGGCCCAAACUCCUACGGGAGGCAGCAGUGGGGAAUAUUGGACAAUGGGGGCAACCCUGAUCCAGCAAUGCCGCGUGGGUGAAGAAGGUUUUCGGAUUGUAAAGCCCUUUUGGCGGGGACGAUGAUGACGGUACCCGCAGAAUAAGCUCCGGCUAACUUCGUGCCAGCAGCCGCGGUAAUACGAAGGGGGCUAGCGUUGCUCGGAAUGACUGGGCGUAAAGGGCGCGUAGGCGGCUUACAUAGUUAGGCGUGAAAUUCCUGGGCUCAACCUGGGGACUGCGUCUAAUACAUGUAGGCUUGAGUGUGAAAGAGGGUCGUGGAAUUUCCAGUGUAGAGGUGAAAUUCGUAGAUAUUGGAAAGAACACCGGUGGCGAAGGCGGCGACCUGGUUCAUUACUGACGCUGAGGCGCGAAAGCGUGGGGGAGCAAACAGGAUUAAAAUACCCUGGUAGUCCACGCUGUAAACGAUGUUGUGCUGGAUGUUGGGGUGCUUAGCACUUCAGUGUCGUAGCUAACGCGGUAAGCACACCGCUUGGGGAGUACGGCCGCAAGUUGAAACUCAAAGGAUGACGGGGCCGCACAGCGUGAGCAUGUGUUAUUCGAGCAACGGCAGACUAACAGAAUUGGACAUG
RNAcentral lists this ribosomal RNA (878 nucleotides) under uncultured Acidiphilium sp. RNAcentral describes it as "bacterial SSU rRNA". It matches the Rfam family "Bacterial small subunit ribosomal RNA", at positions 56 to 988 of the family's 1533-position model. Lineage: Bacteria; Pseudomonadati; Pseudomonadota; Alphaproteobacteria; Acetobacterales; Acidocellaceae. The record is from RNAcentral.